This is a long non-coding RNA of Stomoxys calcitrans (stable fly), 233 nucleotides long. RefSeq lists it as uncharacterized. The record is from RefSeq and is a predicted model, not a curated record. The transcript has 2 exons. NCBI's taxonomy places the organism in Eukaryota, Metazoa, Arthropoda, Insecta, Diptera, Muscidae.
UUCACUCUCGAGAUGUUGCAUAUCAUCGACUUACCGCCUGACGAGAGAAUGAAUUUCAAGAAAGAUAUAGAAAGCUGCGCGAAGGUAUACCGCCACACAGUCAACAAGCACAGCAGAAGAGAACAUUUAGUUGCCAACAGACAAUAGUUCGUGUAACAACUCAUUAAAUCCUUGAAAAUGGUAGACGGAGUCUACCGAAAUAUUGGAGAAAAAUAAAAGAAAAAAACCUUAAA